This 855-nucleotide long non-coding RNA is filed under the name Gossypium barbadense (sea-island cotton). RNAcentral's name for it is "long non-coding RNA (GBAR_LNC012715)". Lineage: Eukaryota; Viridiplantae; Streptophyta; Magnoliopsida; Malvales; Malvaceae. The record is from RNAcentral.
UGAUUUGAUGCGCGAAGUUGUUGUUUCCAAGUCCAAAGAACUGAGUUUCAUUCAAACAUGUCCAGAAAAUUUGUCCAACCAUGAUCGUGUAGCUCGACACAUUUCCAUCUGCAACAAAUCAAACAAUUUCCCAAUGGUUGUUGGUAAUUAUCAAACUCAUUCAGCAAUUUUCUUUCACAUAGAAGAAUUACCUAAAUCUUUCUGCUUCUUACUGUUCACAAAGUUCAAAUUGUUGAAAGAACUGGACUUUGAAGGAGUCCCAUUGACUUAUAUUCCAGAGGAACUGGGAAAUCUGUUCAAUUUGAAAUACUUGAGCAUAAGGGACACAAAGGUGAAAAAGCUCCUAAGAUCUAUAGGUAAAUUGCAUAAGCUUCAAACUUUGGAUCUAAAACGUUCAUUUGUAAGCAAGUUACCAGUUGAAAUCAACAUGCUCUUCAAUCUUCAAUAUCUUGUAGCUUACUACAAAGAUAAACAAAGCAUCAACAGUAUCAAUAGUCGAAGAGGGAUGAAGUUAUAUUCCAACUUUGGGAGCUUAGAGUCCUUAGAAAAGCUGUAUGAGGUGGACUUGGAGGCCUACAGUGGUGGUAAUUUCUUUCGCGAGUUAGCAAGAUUGAAGCAGUUGAGAAAACUAUGCAUCACUAAACUAAAAUCAGAAAAUGGGAAUGAUUUAUGUGAUGCAAUACAGCAGAUGAUCCACCUUCAGUCAUUGAGAAUUUCUUCUAUAAAAGAGGAAGAGCUUCUUCACCUACAUACAAUGUCAUCCCCUCCGGUUUUUCUCCGUUGCCUCAGGCUACGAGGAAUAUUAAUGAAGUUACCUGGUUGGAUUUAUGAACUGAGGAACCUCACAAAACUUAC